GACGAACGCUGGCGGCGUGCUUAACACAUGCAAGUCGAACGGAAAGGCCCCUUUGGGGGUACUCGAGUGGCGAACGGGUGAGUAACACGUGAGUAACCUGCCCUUGACUUCGGGAUAACUUCAGGAAACUGGGGCUAAUACCGGAUAGGAAUCCUUGCUGCAUGGUGGGGGUUGGAAAGCUUCGGCGGUUUUGGAUGGACUCGCGGCUUAUCAGCUUGUUGGUGGGGUAGUGGCUUACCAAGGCUUUGACGGGUAGCCGGCCUGAGAGGGCGACCGGCCACAUUGGGACUGAGAUACGGCCCAGACUCCUACGGGAGGCAGCAGUGGGGAAUAUUGCACAAUGGGCGGAAGCCUGAUGCAGCAACGCCGCGUGCGGGAGGACGGCCUUCGGGUUGUAAACCGCUUUCAGCAGGGGCGAAGCUUGUGGUGACGGUGCCUGCAGAAGAAGCACCGGCUAACUACGUG
Molecule: ribosomal RNA, 465 nt
Filed under: uncultured bacterium
Lineage: Bacteria
Description: partial 16S ribosomal RNA
Rfam family: Bacterial small subunit ribosomal RNA
Source: RNAcentral